RNAcentral lists this non-coding RNA (290 nucleotides) under Serratia sp. DD3. RNAcentral's name for it is "Bacterial small subunit ribosomal RNA". It matches the Rfam family "Bacterial small subunit ribosomal RNA", at positions 1 to 287 of the family's 1533-position model. The record is from Rfam by way of RNAcentral. Lineage: Bacteria; Pseudomonadati; Pseudomonadota; Gammaproteobacteria; Enterobacterales; Yersiniaceae.
UAAUUGAAGAGUUUGAUCAUGGCUCAGAUUGAACGCUGGCGGCAGGCUUAACACAUGCAAGUCGAGCGGUAGCACAGGGGAGCUUGCUCCCUGGGUGACGAGCGGCGGACGGGUGAGUAAUGUCUGGGAAACUGCCUGAUGGAGGGGGAUAACUACUGGAAACGGUAGCUAAUACCGCAUAAUGUCGCAAGACCAAAGUGGGGGACCUUCGGGCCUCACACCAUCGGAUGUGCCCAGAUGGGAUUAGCUAGUAGGUGGGGUAAUGGCUCACCUAGGCGACGAUCCCUAGC